Molecule: unclassified non-coding RNA, 553 nt
Filed under: Hevea brasiliensis (rubber tree)
Lineage: Eukaryota; Viridiplantae; Streptophyta; Magnoliopsida; Malpighiales; Euphorbiaceae
Source: RNAcentral
GUUGGCUGCAACUCCCCAUCCGUACUUGUUGAAUAUAUAUUGACUUAACAACAUCAUUAUGAACGUUACAACACCAGUAGCGGUUGAGAAAUCACCCAUGAACGAAGAGUAUUCAUUCGGGCUCGGAAACUGUGCUUUGAGCUUCGAUUUCCACGUAACCUCAACAAGGUUGAUACUGAUGCCGUAUGCAACCACCAGAGUGGCAAGAUCCCGGAUGUAUCUUGAAGAUGCCAAGAAUUUCAAGCUCUCCAUCGUCCCCAUGUUAACCUUCUCCUUCUUCUUCUUGCUGCGAGUCGGAAGAGAAGCAAAUUUAUUCACCCACCAAUAGAGGAAACAGAUAGCAAGCCCCAUACCGACAACAAUACUCAUCAUUGCUUUCAGAGAUAUUGCCCACCCAUCGACUCCAGGACCCAAGUGUUUCCUCAAAUUUGAGAAAUACUUCACCGUUCUGCCUGAGAAAAUGAGGGCAACAUUUGCACCAAGCCCAAAUAGGGGAUAGAACUUUUUGGCUUCCUCAACAGUGGUAAUCUGAUUGGCAAAUCCCCAAAACAAA